UCUAAUAUGGCAGAAUAGUGCAAUGGACUUAAACCCCAUACAUAAAGGAACCUUUUUUUAGAA
Molecule: transfer RNA, 63 nt
Filed under: Impressosora ruficollis
Lineage: Eukaryota; Metazoa; Arthropoda; Insecta; Coleoptera; Tenebrionidae
Description: Eutrapela ruficollis tRNA-Leu
Rfam family: tRNA
About the family: Transfer RNA (tRNA) molecules are approximately 80 nucleotides in length. Their secondary structure includes four short double-helical elements and three loops (D, anti-codon, and T loops).
Source: RNAcentral